UAGAAAUUUAAUUUUAAAUAUUUAAGUAGUAUUAGUUAAGAUCUUGAAAUUUAAAAAAUUUGGCGGUAUUUUAGUCUAUUCAGAGGAACCUGUUUUUUUAUCGAUAGUCCACGAUGUAUCUUACUUAAAUUUGUUUUAAUAGUUUAUAUAUCGUCGUUUAUGGAAUAUUUUUUAAAAAUAAUAAUUUUCUUAAUUUUUUGUAUAAAAGUAUAUCAGAUCAAUAUGUAGCUUAUGUUUGAGUUUAUAAUGGGUUACAAUUUUUUUAUUAAUGGAUAUAAGUUUGUAAAUUUAUUUAUUGAAAUUGGAUUUGAUAGUAAAUUUAUAUAGAUUAAUAAUUUGAUUAUAGCUCUAAAAUAUG
Molecule: ribosomal RNA, 358 nt
Filed under: Dorylomorpha aberrans
Lineage: Eukaryota; Metazoa; Arthropoda; Insecta; Diptera; Pipunculidae
Description: partial 12S ribosomal RNA
Source: RNAcentral